This is a long non-coding RNA of Carassius carassius (crucian carp), 721 nucleotides long. RefSeq lists it as uncharacterized. The transcript has 3 exons. The record is from RefSeq and is a predicted model, not a curated record. Lineage: Eukaryota; Metazoa; Chordata; Actinopteri; Cypriniformes; Cyprinidae.
CGCGCAGUCGUGAGCCAAUCCGCUCUUUCAGCGAAAAUUUAUACCAGUGCCCCAAAUUUACAUAACGUUACUCCUACAACUAACCUUUAAGAGGAGAGCGUAAAACAGAAGCUAUAUUCGUCUUAGCGCACCAGCACUAAUUAAUUGUACAGUAAAAGUGUUUUAAUGGUUUAUUCAUAUUGAAUAUUGUUAUGUAUCUAUUAGAAUACCCUAUAAUUACAGCAAUUUCUCUUAUGAAGCUAGAUUGAUUGACAUGUUUUUUAAACGUGUUGUACUAAAUGUGUUUAUACUUAUGUUUUAGACAAUGGACUUUUUUGUGAAGGAAAAAUUACAACAAUAGAAUUUCUGCCUGUUAACUGAAACAUUUCAAGGCCUUCGUGCAGAAAUUGUCUUUUAAACCCUUCCUGCCAUCUGCACCAUACCACACAAAUGGAAAAAUGGUGUGCACAUCAUACACGGAAAUGAAGCGGUCCUUCAUUGACAUUCAACCUGUUGGCACUAAUUAGUGCUGUACUUGAAUCAUGAGACAAGCCAGAAUCCACAUGUCCUGGUGCUUGGUGACAAGGAAAACUCCUCCCAAGAUUUUAUUAUUUUAAACGGGGAGGCGAUGGAACAGGAGACGAUACUACAAGCAGUCGAUCUGUGUUUCAAACUUUUCUUUGUAUAUGACAUCUACUACCUAAAGCCCUCUGCUCCCAUUUGAGAGUUUUUGGAACACACA